RNAcentral lists this transfer RNA (69 nucleotides) under Smaragdina reyi. Its description in RNAcentral is "tRNA-Gln". The record is from RNAcentral. Lineage: Eukaryota; Metazoa; Arthropoda; Insecta; Coleoptera; Chrysomelidae.
UACAUUUAAGUAUAAGCUGUACAGAGAUUUUUGAUAUCUCAAGAGACGGUUAAAUUCCGUUAAAUGUAA